GACGAACGCUGGCGGCGUGCUUAACGCAUGCAAGUCGAACGGAAAGGCCUGCUUUCCCUUGUGGAUUGCGGGUACUCGAGUGGCGAACGGGUGAGUAACACGUGAGUGAUCUGCCCCCAACUUGGGUAUAAGCCUGGGAAACUGGGUCUAAUUCCCGAUAGGACUGCAGGGUGGUGCCUGUGGUGGAAAACGAUUUUCUAGUGGUUGGGGAUGAGCUCGCGGCCUAUCAGCUUGUUGGUGGGGUAAUGGCCUACCAAGGCGGCGACGGGUAACCGGCCUGAGAGGGUGGACGGCCACAUUGGGACUGAGAUACGGCCCAGACGCCUACGGGAGGCAGCAGUGGGGAAUAUUGCACGAUGGGCGGAAGCCUGAUGCAGCGACGCCGCGUGGGGGAUGACGGCCUUCGGGUUGUAAACUCCUUUCGACCGCGAGGAAGCCACCUGGUUGGAAGGGUGGUGACGGUAGUGGUAGAAGAAGCACCGGCUAACUACGUG
RNAcentral lists this ribosomal RNA (494 nucleotides) under uncultured bacterium. RNAcentral's name for it is "partial 16S ribosomal RNA". It matches the Rfam family "Bacterial small subunit ribosomal RNA", at positions 28 to 507 of the family's 1533-position model. The record is from RNAcentral.